AGGAAUAUUGGUCAAUGGACGAGAGUCUGAACCAGCCAAGUAGCGUGAAGGAUGACUGCCCUAUGGGUUGUAAACUUCUUUUAUACGGGAAUAAAGUGAGGCACGUGUGCCUUUUUGUAUGUACCGUAUGAAUAAGGAUCGGCUAACUCCGUGCCAGCAGCCGCGGUAAUACGGAGGAUCCGAGCGUUAUCCGGAUUUAUUGGGUUUAAAGGGAGCGUAGGCGGACGCUUAAGUCAGUUGUGAAAGUUUGCGGCUCAACCGUAAAAUUGCAGUUGAUACUGGGUGUCUUGAGUACAGUAGAGGCAGGCGGAAUUCGUGGUGUAGCGGUGAAAUGCUUAGAUAUCACGAAGAACUCCGAUUGCGAAGGCAGCUUGCUGGACUGUAACUGACGCUGAUGCUCGAAAGUGUGGGUAUCAAACAGGAUUAGAUACCCUGGUAGUCCACACAGUAAACGAUGAAUACUCGCUGUUUGCGAUAUACAGUAAGCGGCCAAGCGAAAGCGUUAAGUAUUCCACCUGGGGAGUACGCCGGCAACGGUGAAACUCAAAGGAAUUGACGGGGGCCCGCACAAGCGGAGGAACAUGUGGUUUAAUUCGAUGAUACGCGAGGAACCUUACCCGGGCUUGAAUUGCAACUGAAUGAUGUGGAGACAUGUCAGCCGCAAGGCAGUUGUGAAGGUGCUGCAUGGUUGUCGUCAGCUCGUGCCGUGAGGUGUCGGCUUAAGUGCCAUAACGAGCGCAACCCUUAUCGAUAGUUACCAUCAGGUUAUGCUGGGGACUCUGUCGAGACUGCCGUCGUAAGAUGUGAGGAAGGUGGGGAUGACGUCAAAUUAGCACGGCCCUUACGUCCGGGGCUACACACGUGUUACAAUGGGGGGUACAGAAGGCAGCUACACGGCGACGUGAUGCUAAUCCCGAAAGCCUCUCUCAGUUCGGAUUGGAGUCUGCAACCCGACUCCAUGAAGCUGGAUUCGCUAGUAAUCGCGCAUCAGCCACGGCGCGGUGAAUACGUUCCCG
This 1016-nucleotide ribosomal RNA is filed under the name uncultured bacterium. RNAcentral's name for it is "bacterial SSU rRNA". It matches the Rfam family "Bacterial small subunit ribosomal RNA", at positions 357 to 1376 of the family's 1533-position model. The record is from RNAcentral.